UUUCUCCUACAGCCCUGAUCCCGCCUUGGCCAUGAGGGAAAUCGUGCUCACGCAGACCGGGCAGUGCGGGAACCAGCUCGGCGCCAAGUUCUGGGAGGUGAUCUCUGAUGAACACGCCAUGGACUGCGCUGGCACCUACCACGGGGACAGCCACCUGCAGCUGGAGCGCAUCAACGUGUACUACAACGAGGCCAGCGGUGAGAUCCCCUCCUUCCCCACCGCCCUCCUGGGAACGCGGCCCUCCCCUCCUGAUGCGCUCCCGCCCCACGCAGGUGGCAGGUACGUGCCCCGCGCUGUGCUCGUGGAUCUGGAGCCCCGCACCAUGGACUCUGUGCACUCAGGGCCCUUCGGGCAGGUCUUCAGGCCAGACAACUUCAUCUUCGGUCAGAGUGGGGCUGGAAACAACUGGGCCAAGGGACACUACACAGAAGGCGCGGAGCUGAUGGAGUCAGUGAUGGACGUCGUCAGAAAGGAGGCUGAGAGCUGUGACUGCCUGCAGGGUUUCCAGCUGACCCACUCCCUGGGUGGGGGGACUGGGUCUGGGAUGGGUACCCUUCUGCUCAGUAAGAUCCGGGAGGAGUACCCAGACAGGAUCAUAAACACAUUCAGCAUCCUGCCCUCGCCCAAGGUGUCGGACACCGUGGUGGAGCCCUACAACGCCACCCUCUCAGUCCACCAGCUCAUAGAAAACGCGGAUGAGACCUUCUGCAUAGAUAACGAAGCGCUGUAUGUCAUAUGUUCCAGGACCCUAAAGCUGCCCACAUGCACCUAUGGUGACCUGAACCACCUGGUG
RNAcentral lists this small RNA (793 nucleotides) under Pongo abelii (Sumatran orangutan). RNAcentral describes it as "retained intron". The record is from RNAcentral. Lineage: Eukaryota; Metazoa; Chordata; Mammalia; Primates; Hominidae.